RNAcentral lists this long non-coding RNA (2583 nucleotides) under Salvia miltiorrhiza (redroot sage). RNAcentral describes it as "long non-coding RNA (SMIL_LNC005899)". Lineage: Eukaryota; Viridiplantae; Streptophyta; Magnoliopsida; Lamiales; Lamiaceae. The record is from RNAcentral.
CCCACCUUAAGCUCCUACUUUGAUAGAAUCAGAACCUAUUUUGUAUCUCCUAUCACAGGGUGAGGCUGAAACCAACAUCGAGUCUAAAUAACAACAAAAGAACUACAAUAGAGAGAGCAAAGGUAACCAACUAUCAAACCCGAACUGCCGUCCAGUAAGCUUGAUUAAGAACCACACAACGAUCGGGCAUCUGGAAAUGGAAGAGAAUAACGAUAAGCACCGGAAGGUCUAGAUGGAAGAUAAAUUGUAUUAGAAGAAAUACUAUACUAACUCCCUCUGCCACCCUCGAAAAACAUAUCAUGACCAUCAAAGGAUUGAUUGUGUGCAAUAACUGACUAAGAUUAGCCCUACCUUAAGCCCUACUUUGAUAAAAUUAAAACUUAAUUUUUAUCUCAUGUCAUAGGGUGGGGCAGAAAACAAUAUCACGUCUAUGUACAAACAAAAAUUGUUGAAAUGACAAAAGAUAACCAAACAUCAAACCAGAAGUGUCAUCCAGUUAAGAACCACCCCACGAUCAGACAUCUGGAAAUUGAAGAGUAUAUCUAUAAGCACGGGAAACUCUAGGUAGAAGAGAAAAUGUAUAGAAAUAAAAAUACUAUUAUGUACUCCCUUUGCCACCCUCGAUUAACACAAUAUCAAUGACUCAUCAAAGAUCUGUCCGCGUCCAAAAACCAGACCAAGAUAGCCCCCACAUUAAGCUCCUACAGUGAUGGAAUCAAAACCUAUUUUGUAUCUCCUGUCACAGGGUAGGCCCAAAACAAUAUCCAAGUCUAUAUAACAACAAAAGAAUAUAAUAGAGAGAUCAAAUGCAACCAAUUAUGAACCCAGAACUGCCUUCCAGUUAAGCUUGAUUAAGAACCAAACAACGAUCAGGCAUCUGGAAAUCGAAGAGAAUAACAAUAAGCACGGGAAAGUCAAGAUGGAAGAUAAAUUGUAGCAGAAUUAAUACAAUACUAUACUCCCUCUGACACCCUCGAUAAACAUUAUAUCAGUGACAGCAUCAAAAGUUGAUGUCUCCAGUAACUAGACCAAGAUUAGCCCCACCAUAAGCUGCUUCUUUCACAACUUAAUUUUUAACUCCUGUCACAAGGUGAGGCAGAAAACAAUAUCCACGUCUACGUAACAAAUAAAAGAUUGUUGAAACUGACAAAAGAUAACCAAGCAUACCAGAAGUGCCUUCCAGUUAAGAACCACACAACAAUCAGACAUCUGGAAAUUGAAGAGUAUAACUAUUAGCACGGGAAACUCUAGGUAGAAGAGAAAAUGUAGGUAGAAAAAAAAUACUAUUAGUACUCCCUUUACCACCCACUAUUAACACUAUAUCAAUGACAGCAUGAAGGAUUUGUCAGUGUCCAAAAACCAGACCAAGACAGCCCCCACCUUAAGCUCCUACUUGAUAGAAUCAGAACCUAUUUUGUAUCUCCUAUCACAGGGUGAGGCUGAAACCAACAUCCGAGUCUAAAUAACAACAAAAGAACUACAAUAGAGAGAGCAAAGGUAACCAACUAUCAAACCCGAACUGCCGUCCAGUUAAGCUUGAUUAAGAACCACACAACGAUCGGGCAUCUGGAAAUGAAGAGAAUAACGAUAAGCACCGGAAGGUCUAGAUGGAAGAUAAAUUGUAUAGAAGAAAUACUAUACUAUACUCCCUCUGCCACCCUCGAUAAACACACUAUAUAGUGACCACGUCAAAGGAUUGACUUGUGUGCAAUAACUUGACUAAGAUUAGCCCUACCUUAAGCUCCUACUUGAUAAAAUUAAAACUUAAUUUUUAUCUCAUGUCAUAGGGUGGGGCAGAAAACAAUAUCCACGUCUAUGUAGCAAACAAAAUUGUUGAACUGACAAAAGAUAACCAAACAUCAAACAGAAGUGUCUCCAGUUAAGAACCACCCCACGAUCAGACAUCUGGAAAUUGAAGAGUAUAUCUAUAAGCACGGGAAACUCGAGGUAGAAGAGAAAAUGUAGUAGAAUAAAAAUACUAUUAUGUACUCCCUUUGCCACCCUCGAUUAACACAAUAUCAAUGACUACAUCAAAGAUCUGUCGCGUCCAAAAACCAGACCAAGAUAGCCCCCACAUUAAGCUCCUACAGUGAUGGAAUCAAAACCUAUUUUGUAUCUCCUGUCACAGGGUAGGCUCAAAACAAUAUCCAAGUCUAUAUAACAACAAAAGAAAUAUAAUAGAGAGAUCAAAUGCAACCAAUUAUGAACCCAGAACUGCCUUCCAGUUAAGCUUGAUUAAGAACCAAACAACGAUCAGGCAUCUGGAAAUCGAAGAGAAUAACAAUAAGCACGGGAAAGUCAAGAUGGAAGAUAAAUUGUAGCAGAAUUAAUACAAUACUAUACUCCCUCUGACACCCUCGAUAAACAUUAUAUCAGUGACAGCAUCAAAAGUUGAUAGUCUCCAUAACUAGACCAAGAUUAGCCCCACCAUAAGUGCUUCUUUCACAACUUAAUUUUUAACCCCUGUCACAAGGUGAGGCAGAAAACAAUAUCCACGUCUACGUAACAAAUAAAAGAUUGUUGAAACUGACAAAAGAUAACCAAGCAUACCAGAAGUGCCUUCCAGUUAAGAACCACACAACA